AGUGAACGCUGGCGGUAGGCCUAACACAUGCAAGUCGAACGGCAGCACAGUAAGAGCUUGCUCUUACGGGUGGCGAGUGGCGGACGGGUGAGGAAUACAUCGGAAUCUACUUUUUCGUGGGGGAUAACGUAGGGAAACUUACGCUAAUACCGCAUACGACCUACGGGUGAAAGCAGGGGAUCUUCGGACCUUUCGCGAUUGAAUGAGCCGAUGUCGGAUUAGCUAGUUGGCGGGGUAAAGGCCCACCAAGGCAACGAUGCGUAGCUGGUCUGAGAGGAUGAUCAGCCACACUGGAACUGAGACACGGUCCAGACUCCUACGGGAGGCAGCAGUGGGGAAUAUUGGACAAUGGGCGCAAGCCUGAUCCAGCCAUACCGCGUGGGUGAAGAAGGCCUUCGGGUUGUAAAGCCCUUUUGUUGGGAAAGAAAAGCAGCAGGUUAAUACCCCGCUGUUCUGACGGUACCCAAAGAAUAAGCACCGGCUAACUUCGUG
RNAcentral lists this ribosomal RNA (492 nucleotides) under uncultured bacterium. Its description in RNAcentral is "partial 16S ribosomal RNA". It matches the Rfam family "Bacterial small subunit ribosomal RNA", at positions 29 to 507 of the family's 1533-position model. The record is from RNAcentral.